RNAcentral lists this ribosomal RNA (216 nucleotides) under Campeiostachys nutans. RNAcentral's name for it is "Elymus nutans partial small subunit ribosomal RNA". The stretch from base 37 to 216 matches the Rfam family "Eukaryotic small subunit ribosomal RNA", at positions 684 to 864 of the family's 1831-position model. Lineage: Eukaryota; Viridiplantae; Streptophyta; Magnoliopsida; Poales; Poaceae. The record is from RNAcentral.
GGAUCAUAUGUCGGUCGUGCUUUCGGUACGUACUGGUAUCAUUGGUUUCUCCUUUCUGACGAACCAUGAUGUCAUUAAUUUGGUGUUAUGGGGAGUUAGGACUGUUACUUUGAAAAAAUCAGAGUGUUUAAAGCAAGCUUAUUGCUCGAAUACAUUAGCAUGGAAUAAUAAAAUAGGACGUUCGAACCUAUUUUGUUGGUUUCUAGGAUCAACGUA